AAUUUAAAGUCUGACCUGCCCACUGAUUAAAUUAAAGGGCCGCAGUAUAUUGACUGUGCAAAGGUAGCAUAAUCAUUUGUCUUUUAAUUGAAGACUGGAAUGAAUGGUUAGAUGAAAUAUUAGCUGUCUCAUUUUUAAAAAUAUAAAAACUUAUUUUUUUAGUUAAAAAACUAAAAUAAAUUUAAAAGACGAGAAGACCCUAUAGAUCUUAAUAAUUAAUAAUUAUAUGAAAAAUAGAAUAAAAAUUAUUUUAUAUUUUAUUAUUAUUUUGUUGGGGUGACAGGAAAAUUUAAUUAACUUUUUUUAUUUUUAAAACCAAUGAUUUUUGAAUAUUUGAUCCAAUAUUAUUGACAAUAAAAUUAAGUUACCUUAGGGAUAACAGCGUAAUUUUUUUAGAGAGUUCUUAUCGAAAAAAGAGUUUGCGACC
Molecule: ribosomal RNA, 427 nt
Filed under: Silveira rufus
Lineage: Eukaryota; Metazoa; Arthropoda; Insecta; Neuroptera; Psychopsidae
Description: partial 16S ribosomal RNA
Source: RNAcentral